AGUGGCAUAGCUGGGUCAAAUGGUUGGAUUGACCAAUCAUUUGGUUCCAUUCCAAGUUUUCUAAGGAAUCCCCAUACUGCUUUCCAAAGUGAUUGCACUAAUUUGCAGUCCCACCAGCAAU
Molecule: microRNA precursor, 121 nt
Filed under: Marmota monax (woodchuck)
Lineage: Eukaryota; Metazoa; Chordata; Mammalia; Rodentia; Sciuridae
Source: RNAcentral